GAAGAUGGGGAUCUGGCUCACGAAUUCUAUGAGGAGACAAUCAUCACCAAGAAUGGGCAGAAGCGAUCCAACCUGAGGCGAGUACGUAAUAAUCUGAUUCCUCAGGGCAUCGUGAAGCUGGAACGCCCACAAAUCCACGUGGAUUUCCCUCUGAUCCUCUGUGAAGUAUGAGCCUGUGGCACGGCAGACACAAGCACCCCACUGCCCCAGCAAGAAACUCGCAGGAUCAAGGUGUAGCUUCCAUUCAGGAGUCCAGGCUUGUGCCACAACCCUCAAUAAACUGAACUCCGUUGGCCCA
RNAcentral lists this long non-coding RNA (298 nucleotides) under Rattus norvegicus (Norway rat). RNAcentral's name for it is "long non-coding RNA NONRATT031120". Lineage: Eukaryota; Metazoa; Chordata; Mammalia; Rodentia; Muridae. The record is from RNAcentral.